AAUGGGCGAAAGCCUGACGCAGCGAUGCCGCGUGAGCGAUGAAGGCCCUCGGGUUGUAAAGCUCUGUGGAUGGAGACGAAAAGCUGUAGUUAAUACCUGCAGUGAUGACGGUAUCCAUUUAGCAAGCACCGGCUAACUCUGUGCCAGCAGCCGCGGUAAGACAGAGGGUGCAAACGUUGUUCGGAAUUACUGGGCGUAAAGCGCGUGUAGGCGGCUCUGUAAGUCGGAUGUGAAAUCCCGUGGCUCAACCACGGAAGUGCACCCGAAACUGCAGGGCUAGAGUAUCGGAGAGGAAGGUGGAAUGCUUGGUGUAGAGGUGAAAUUCGUAGAUAUCAAGCGGAGCACCGGUGGCGAAGGCGGCCUUCUGGACGAUUACUGACGCUGAGACGCGAAAGCGUGGGUAGCAAACAGGAUU
This 415-nucleotide ribosomal RNA is filed under the name uncultured delta proteobacterium. Its description in RNAcentral is "bacterial SSU rRNA". It matches the Rfam family "Bacterial small subunit ribosomal RNA", at positions 370 to 779 of the family's 1533-position model. Lineage: Bacteria; Deltaproteobacteria. The record is from RNAcentral.